This 385-nucleotide ribosomal RNA is filed under the name uncultured Leptolinea sp. Its description in RNAcentral is "bacterial SSU rRNA". It matches the Rfam family "Bacterial small subunit ribosomal RNA", at positions 986 to 1382 of the family's 1533-position model. The record is from RNAcentral. Lineage: Bacteria; Bacillati; Chloroflexota; Anaerolineae; Anaerolineales; Anaerolineaceae.
GUCAAGUGGUAGGAAGGCCGAAACGGUGACCGACCCUUCCGGGAGGCUUGCACAGGUGCUGCAUGGCUGUCGUCAGCUCGUGUCGUGAGAUGUUCGGUUAAGUCCGCUAACGAGCGCAACCCUCGCUGUGUGUUAUAUGUGUCACACGGGACUGCCGGUCUUAAGCCGGAGGAAGGUGGGGAUGAUGUCAAGUCAGCAUGGCCUUUAUAUCCUGGGCUACACACACGCUACAAUGGCCAACACAAUAGGUUGCUAAGCCGCGAGGUGGCGCCAAUCCAUAAAGUUGGUCUCAGUUCAGAUUGUAGGCUGCAACCCGCCUGCAUGAAGAUGGAGUUGCUAGUAACCGCAGGUCAGCUAUACUGCGGUGAAUACGUUCCCGGGUCUU